This 484-nucleotide ribosomal RNA is filed under the name uncultured bacterium. RNAcentral describes it as "partial 16S ribosomal RNA". It matches the Rfam family "Bacterial small subunit ribosomal RNA", at positions 30 to 507 of the family's 1533-position model. The record is from RNAcentral.
AUUGAACGCUGGCGGCAGGCCUAACACAUGCAAGUCGAGCGGAAGAAGGGUAAUUGCUCCCGGUUUCAGCUGGCGACGGGCGGGUGAUGCCGAGGAAUAUGCCUGGCAGCUGGGGCUAGGGUCCUGACGCAGGCGCUCAUACGCUAAAAGUGCAUAGGAAGAACGUGGGGGAGCAGCGGAUCUUCCGCCAUUACGUGAGCCUAGGUCGGAUUAGCUAGUUGGCGGGGUAAAGGCCUACCAAGGCGACGAUCCGUAGCUGGUCUGAGAGGAUGAUCAGCCACACUGGAACUGAGACACGGUCCAGACUCCUACGGGAGGCAGCAGUGGGGAAUAUUGGACAAUGGGCGAAAGCCUGAUCCAGCCAUGCCGCGUGGGUGAAGAAGGUCUUCGGAUUGUAAAGCCCUUUUAGUUGGGAAGAAAAGCAGUAAGUUAAUACCUUGCUGUUUUGACGGUACCAAAAGAAUAAGCAACGGCUAACUUCGUG